RNAcentral lists this long non-coding RNA (309 nucleotides) under Gossypium barbadense (sea-island cotton). RNAcentral describes it as "long non-coding RNA (GBAR_LNC003973)". Lineage: Eukaryota; Viridiplantae; Streptophyta; Magnoliopsida; Malvales; Malvaceae. The record is from RNAcentral.
CCCUCCCGAAGAAUAUGUGUAAAAUGGAUUUAACCCGGACGGGUAAUCCGAAUUAGGGUCUGAAUUUAGCCUGGACUGGUAAUUCAGAUCCAAGCUCAUUAGAGUAAUUGUCGUUGCAGGGGAUUUAGCCUGGACUGGUAAUCCCGACAAUACUCUAUGAGUUUAUAUUGCAGGGGAUUUAGCCUGGACUGGUAAUCCCGCUGCAAGGUUGUGGUUUGCGGGAGUGUGCUCUCUGAAAUGGAAAUGUGCGCACAUGAAUAUGAAUUGACGGACCCAGAAUUGUACACUAAAAGUGUACCUCUGAAAAUC